Molecule: ribosomal RNA, 491 nt
Filed under: uncultured bacterium
Lineage: Bacteria
Description: partial 16S ribosomal RNA
Rfam family: Bacterial small subunit ribosomal RNA
Source: RNAcentral
GAUGAACGCUGGCUACAGGCUUAGCACAUGCAAGUCGAGGGGAAACGACGGGGAAGCUUGCUUCCCCGGGCGUCGACCGGCGCACGGGUGAGUAACGCGUAUCCAACCUGCCUCUGACUGAGGGAUAACCCGUCGAAAGUCGGCCUAAUACCUCAUGGUAUCGUCUGCGGGCAUCCAACGACGAUUAAAGAUUUCAUCGGUCAGGGAUGGGGAUGCGUCUGAUUAGCUUGUUGGCGGGGUAACGGCCCACCAAGGCUACGAUCAGUAGGGGUUCUGAGAGGAAGGUCCCCCACAUUGGAACUGAGACACGGUCCAAACUCCUACGGGAGGCAGCAGUGAGGAAUAUUGGUCAAUGGGCGAGAGCCUGAACCAGCCAAGUAGCGUGCAGGAAGACGGCCCUAUGGGUUGUAAACUGCUUUUAUGCGGGGAUAAAGUGAGGGACAUGUCCCUCAUUGCAGGUACCGCAUGAAUAAGGACCGGCUAAUUCCGUG